GUCUUAAGGCAAACUCAGGGAAAAGAGAAAUGUAUCGUGGAGCAGAAAAGCAAUAGCUUGCUUGACCUUGAUUUUCAGUAUGAAUACAGAUCAUCACAGCAGGG
This 104-nucleotide non-coding RNA is filed under the name Oreochromis niloticus (Nile tilapia). RNAcentral also lists the same sequence under 1 other name. Lineage: Eukaryota; Metazoa; Chordata; Actinopteri; Cichliformes; Cichlidae. The record is from Rfam by way of RNAcentral.